UUCACCCAUAACGUAUGUAAAAUAUCUAAAUUCUAGCAAUUGCUUCUAGUAUUUAUAUGCUACAACAUGUUCUUUCACAAAGUGGAAGUUUAAAUCAUACAUUUUUGUGCUAUUAGAAGAAAAGGAAAUAUGAAUAAAAUGAUUGCUUGUGAUCGGAUGAUGAAAUUGGAGCAGGCUUAUAUUAUUUUCUUUAUAUUGUGUACGUCAUUAGCAAAUUCAUGCAAGACAUACCCUCCCGUAGUAGAGCAUAACUGUUAUUGUGCGUGCAUUGACUUCUCUAUCAAUGCAAGAGAUGCUGCAGCUACACCGGAGGUUGGAGAACUGUGUAGAGAAGGAUCAUUUCUAGACUUCAAUUGUGACCUUAAGGAUGCAUAUGAUGAGGCUGUUGAUAAAACACCUUUCCUAGACUUAGAACCUGCAGAAUGUCCUCAGUAUUAUAUUUAGACUAUAUUCACAUGCUUUAAUAUAAUUUUACAUCUUUAUUUAUUUUUCAAAUAAAAAUAACUUUAUAAUGUCA
Capsicum annuum is the source of this 517-nucleotide long non-coding RNA. RefSeq lists it as uncharacterized. The transcript is spliced from 2 exons. Lineage: Eukaryota; Viridiplantae; Streptophyta; Magnoliopsida; Solanales; Solanaceae. The record is from RefSeq and is a predicted model, not a curated record.